Molecule: ribosomal RNA, 200 nt
Filed under: uncultured bacterium
Lineage: Bacteria
Description: partial 16S ribosomal RNA
Rfam family: Bacterial small subunit ribosomal RNA
Source: RNAcentral
AAUCAACGCUGGCGGCGUGCCUCAGACAUGCAAGUCGAACGAUUAAACUUUCCUUCGGGAAAGAUAUAAAGUGGCGCACGGGUGAGUAACACGUAAGUAAUCUACCUUUGAGUGGGGAAUAACGUCGGGAAACCGACGCUAAUACCGCAUAAUGCAGCGGCACCGCAAGGUGACAGUUGUUAAAGGAGCAAUCCGCUUAA